GCUGAAACAACUAAUCGAUUUAAUCGAUUAUAAUCGAUUAUUAAAAUAGUUAACAACUUUUUUAGUCAUCGAUUAGUUGUUUAAUAAUCAUAUUUUACCGCAUAAAGUCUAUUUUUUACCACAAUCUGACAUCGGUUACAAUCUGUUAAAUUUGCCGCCAGUGUGUGGCAGUAAUGAGCCACUGAUCUACCAGUGGGACCGUAGAAGAAGAAAUUAGCCAAUAAGUGCCCUCGGUUUUCAUGACGUAUCACGUUACUGACGCGCAUCUUGCUGUGAGAGAUGGCGGAUCAACAACAAAUACGGAAGAAAAAUAGAAGCGACAAAACAAGAGAAACCCCGGACAAAAACCUCACGAGUAUGGGAGCACUUCACUAGAUGCCUUGAAAAGACCGGUGACCUACAAAAUAUGCAAAAACCAUGGCACGACGGAAGCACGACGUCCCUAAGUGAACAUUUGAGACGAAAACGUGGGGGCUGAUGCAGCAGAGGAAUGUCCGAAAAAAACAAGCAACGAUGGACAACUACAUGGGGAACAAGACACUCACCCCCAGCAAUGCAUACCACUUACAAACUCUAUUCCAGAUUCUACAUUAUUUUUUAUGGAAUUUACCUCUUAUAUUUUGAUGCCAAAAAAUUAUUCUGGACUGAUAUUUUGCACUGUUUAGCUCAUUUUACACUGCUGACUGUGGUCAUGUGCAAUAAAAUAGAUUGCAGUCAACUGCACAA
Molecule: non-coding RNA, 726 nt
Organism: Nothobranchius furzeri (turquoise killifish)
Lineage: Eukaryota; Metazoa; Chordata; Actinopteri; Cyprinodontiformes; Nothobranchiidae
Source: RefSeq, a predicted model, not a curated record